This 301-nucleotide ribosomal RNA is filed under the name uncultured bacterium. Its description in RNAcentral is "partial 16S ribosomal RNA". It matches the Rfam family "Bacterial small subunit ribosomal RNA", at positions 509 to 807 of the family's 1533-position model. The record is from RNAcentral.
CAGCCGCCGCGGUAAUACGGAGGGUGCAAGCGUUAUCCGGAUUUAUUGGGUUUAAAGGGUCCGUAGGCGGAUCUGUAAGUCAGUGGUGAAAUCUCACAGCUUAACUGUGAAACUGCCAUUGAUACUGCAGGUCUUGAGUAAAUUUGAAGUGGCUGGAAUAAGUAGUGUAGCGGUGAAAUGCAUAGAUAUUACUUAGAACACCAAUUGCGAAGGCAGGUCACUAAGAUUUAACUGACACUGAGGCACGAAAGCGUGGGGAGCAAACAGGAUUAGAUACCCCCGUAGUCCCUGUCUCUUAUAC